Molecule: ribosomal RNA, 484 nt
Filed under: uncultured bacterium
Lineage: Bacteria
Description: partial 16S ribosomal RNA
Rfam family: Bacterial small subunit ribosomal RNA
Source: RNAcentral
GACGAACGCUGGCGGCGUGCUUAACACAUGCAAGUCGAACGAUGAAGCCGGAGCUUGCUCUGGUGAAUUAGUGGCGAACGGGUGAGUAACACGUGAGUAACCUGCCCUCGACUCUGGGAUAACUGCUAGAAAUGGUAGCUAAUACCGGAUACGACCCUCGGCGGCAUCGCCAGGGGGUGGAAAGAAUUUCGGUCAAGGAUGGACUCGCGGCCUAUCAGCUAGUUGGUGAGGUAACGGCUCACCAAGGCGACGACGGGUAGCCGGCCUGAGAGGGUGACCGGCCACACGGGGACUGAGACACGGCCCAGACUCCUACGGGAGGCAGCAGUGGGGAAUAUUGCACAAUGGGCGCAAGCCUGAUGCAGCAACGCCGCGUGAGGGAUGACGGCCUUCGGGUUGUAAACCUCUUUUAGUAGGGAAGAAGCGAAAGUGACGGUACCUGCAGAAAAAGCACCGGCUAACUACGUGCCAGCAGCCGCCGUAA